Long non-coding RNA from Taeniopygia guttata (zebra finch), 6637 nucleotides. The record is from Ensembl. Lineage: Eukaryota; Metazoa; Chordata; Aves; Passeriformes; Estrildidae.
UGGAUGUGUGAUGUGGUGGUGGGUGUGGUGACCCCAGCACGGCACAAAGCCUUGCUCACAAGGGUUGCUAAGUGAUGCCUCAAAGGAUUGCCACGGCUGGGGAGAGACGACAGCCGAGGGUAGGUCGGGUUCCCAAAUUGUUUUAUGGCUAAAGGAUUUUUCAGAGUUUUCUUUGCAAACAUAAAUAGAAUUUAUCUGUAUUUUUAAAUCCCAUAAGAAAAACAAACCCCAAGAUCUUCCACUAACUUUUUGAGGAAGUUCUUUCUGAUGGAAAUAGUUUGGUAUCCAAACUCCACAAGGCUCGGUGGCUCGGGGGAGGUCAUGGCAGGCAGCUGUGCUGUCCUGUUACUCAGUGCUCUGGGAGGGGGCUGCUGGAAGUCUGGAGGAGGUUUCACGAUGGAAGACUGGGCUAAAUAAAGGUCUUCCACCUCCAUAAUUCCGGCAGCUGCAUUUCAGCAGGCUCCAGUCACAGUGUGACACGGCGUCUCGGAUGGAGGAGGGAGCCUCAAACCUCGCUGCCUUUGGGUGGGGGCAGCCAAAGUGAUUAAUGGAGCAGCCUCUGCUCAGGUGGGCUGUUCCUGAGCUCCCUGAAGGUGAUCUGCAGCGAGUCCUGCUGCUGGUGAGCUGGCAGUGAUAACUCAGUUCUGCUGCCUGUCCCCAGGACGUGCCUCUUGCUGCACUUAGCACCGAGGGGCUGGAGCCUGGCAAAGCCACAGCCCCCGGAUGUCCAGCCCAGCCUGUCAUUUCCAGUGAAACUGGGGUUGUCAGGGGCAUCCAGCCAGUCAUGUCAUGCUCUGGGCAUCCUGACAGCUCCUGGCUGCUGGCUGGGAACAAUACCACUGUUCCCAAGGGGUGGCAAACCAAAAUCAGGGUAUUUUAGUAUUUCCGAUGAGUUUGGAAAGAGUAGCCAAAGUUGACGGGCUCCAGGCAGCUGUUUAUAGAGUCAUGGAAUGGUUUGGGUUGGGAGGGACCUUAAGAACCAUCCCAUUCCACUCCCUGCCAUGGGCAGGGACACUUUCAACUAUCCCAGGUUGCUCCAAGCCCCAUCCAAGCUGCCCUUGGACACUUCCAGGGAUGGGGCAGCCCCAACUGCUCUGGGCACCCUGUGCCAGGGCCUCACCUCCUUCACAGGGAGGAAUUUCUUCCUGAUAUCCAAUCUGAAACUCUCCUCUUUUAAGUUUAAAACCAUCCCCCCUUGUGCUAUGGCAGCAGGCAGAGCUGAAAGGAGGAUGUGGUGGGAUGUUUUGUUUCCAUGUGCAGUUCCUCACGCCAGGCUGGGUUAUCCCUGGGGUCAGGAAUCAGCCCCCACUGAUCCCCUCGGCUCACCUGGGGCUCCCCUGUCCAGGCAGGGGUUAAUGAGGGAUUUGGGCUGCUCUGGGAGAGCCCAUCCAGGGCGUAGGAGAGACUUGGAGGUUGUUAUUCCCAUCAGGAGAGCUUGGGAGAGAGGGACAGCAGGCCAGGUCCCACCUUCUGGCUCAGCCUCCACAGGGAGUUGCUUGUGAGGCCAACUUCCUCUGGGAGGAAGAGAAAAAGAGCCAUGGAAGCUGUCCAAACCCUCUGCUGAGAAAGAGGGCGAGGCCAGACAGGGUUGAUUCGGGACUUUAUUUGGGUGUGCUUGGAAUUGCCUGUGCCGGGGAAGCACCGGGAGCCCCAGGACGCAGAUGCCCUGUGGCUGCUGCAGGGUGGAUCACCCUCCCACACCUGCAGAGCUCACCUUGCUGGCUGCAGGGGCAGCAGCCGCCGCUGAAUGGGCUUUUUUGGGGAUGGAAAUAGGAAAUGAGCUCUGCAGCUGAGCCUCUGCAGGCACCGGGGUGCAGAGAGCUCUGCCGGGAGGGAGGAGGCUCGGCCAGCACAGGCACUCGGUUAAUAAGCAAAUAUAUGUGGCUCCAUAUAUUAAUAACUCCUGGAAGCAAAGUAGUUCUGGGGGUUGAGUCUCUUGCCUGCUGGAAGUGACUGAAAAGAAUUGGUUUUAUUUCUCCUCCCAGGUCACAGGACCCAGACGUUUCCAGGUAACACACCUGAGCCCGGCUGGCUCCUGAGCAGUGAGCCUGGGUGUGCUGCUGGCCCUGGGGCUGGACCCCACUGACUGUUCUUCCAGGUGUUUGCAUGCCUGCAUACCUUGCUCUGGCUGGAAAAAAGCUUGGAAAAGCUGAAACCUGCAGCCUGUGGCUGUGGGAAGGAGCCAUGAGGGGCAAAGGGACUGCUGGGGGCUGUGGCAGCUCCUGCCCACGCUGGGCUGGGGUGACACUGAGGGGCUCCAGCAGCUCUGGAACCAGCAGCACCUUGGCCUGUGGCCACUGUGGUGAUCAGGGGACCCUUUUCCAUGACACUGUAUCACAGGGGUGAUUCAGCAGCUUUCUAGAAAUGCAAGGAUCUAAAAGAAGUAAAGAAGGGAGUUUUCCUUCUCUGUUUUCCUUCUCUGUUUUCCUUCUCUGUUUUCCUUCUCUGUUUUCCUUCUCUGCCUCUUUCUACAUUAAGAAAUAAGGCAACUUGGGUUCUCCCUUCAGGGAACAGGGAAAUUUGGCACCAAAAAGCCCCUCCAUCCCUUCCCACAUCCCUCCACCACAUGUCUCCGCUUCACUUCUCACUUGUUUUGACAUCAAGUACUUUCCCCAAAAAAUAUUAGUCACAACUUUGGCUUCAACCAGCCAACUCUUAACCUUCCUCAAAGUGGUUUGCAGGGGUGACGUUGGUAAUGUGUGAUGGAGAUGGGGAUGGGUGGGCGGAUUCAGGGUUUCUGGAAGGUUCUGCAUCGAGGUUUGGGAGCCCUGAAGCUGCUGCCUGCUGCUCUAAGGGAAUCCCAAAGGACCUGCCAGCAGAUCCAAGGAGCUUCGGUGGGUCCUUGGAAUAACACAGACUGUGAGGUUGGAAAACCAGGACAUCUGGUGGGGCUGAGAUUGUCAGUGGAGGCUGAAUGAGCAGAGUGAUGAGUAUGGUACAAAGCUGACUGGUCCGUGCUGAGGGGUGUCAAACCUGAACCAGCUGCCUAAAAUCUGGGUUUGGAACAAUAACAGCUCUGUUGAGCAGUUCAGCACCAAGAGGAGGGAAAACCCCAAGUGCUGUGUGGGAUCAGGUGUGGAUUCCUCGGAAUUCCUGGGAAGGAAGGAAGGAGUGAGGGACGCUUGGGUUGGGCAGAGCUGUGAAAUCGUGUUCCAGCCCUGCAGCAGCUGCACAUGAGGAGCCUGCAGUGGCUGUGGCAUCCAGGGUGAACCCAGCCCUGUCUUCCCUGUGCUUCCUCAAGUAAUUAUCACACACCUUGCACCCUAAUGAGAACCUGCUCCAUUUUCUCAUCCCUCUGCUCCGUGGCUCUUCCCUCAUGGCCGCUCCUUCAGAGCUCUUUGCAAACCCCAUCUGCUAAAGGGCUCGGAUUUUCUUUUUAAAAGGAGGAAUCAUUGGAAAUUAGUAGUUUCUCUGUGCGUUAUUAUGCUUAUAAUCCUCUAAUUUGGUAAUGGGGCUGUAAUCACAGCCAGCCCGGAAAGGUGCCCUGGGGAUUCCCAGGCACAGCAUGCCUGGACAGAGCGUGAUUCCACGGCAGGAAAGGCAGGGAGAGAGAGGAUGGACCUCCCAGCACUCCCAGGGAUGGAAAAGCAGAGUCAAACACAGCUCAGGGGUGAGGAAUCCUGAAAUAAGAGAUGUCAGCAUGGGCAGUGGCAGACCCUGUGCCCAGAGCUUGUGUCUGUGGACAGAAACUGAGCUUGACAGCCCCAUCCUACCCAAAAAGUCAAGAGAAAACAACAAACUCAAGGGAAAACAACAAAUGCUGUCCCUCUGCCAGGGAUACUUCCUGCUCAGGAAAGUUUUUCAAGGCAGGUGAGUUCCCAGGAUGCAGAGGAAGGUGUGGGCUGUGAGCGAGGCCCUUCCAGCCCCAAAUCACAACCUGCUGCUCCUGAGGCUGCUGCCCAGCCAGUUCCCACCACAGGAUUUUCUCCCUUCCAACCCUGUAGUGAGGGAAAUUGGUGCAAAUAUGCAGCUUGCUGAGGGUAACGUGUGGUGCCGAGCCACACCUGUAUAAAAAACCAAGCAGGGACUUCCAGAUUGUUAGACUGGAAAGGUGAGGGGAGCUAAUUGGGAUCUGCUAAUUGGGAUCUGCAGUGCCUGGCUGUCCAGACAGGGAAUCCACCCGUGCUGGGGCUGGUGGCUGCUCAGGGAACUGCUCAUUCCCACAUCCUGCAGCCUGUGCAAGGUCUCCUGUUGUGCCACCCUCCCAGGCUGCAAGGUGCUGGCGACAGGGGCCUUGGUGUCAGCAGAGCUAAACCCCGAGUACAGCCCUGCAACCACCAAGGAAAGGAGAAUGAAGCAGGUCUGGCUGAUGUUGGAGAUGGGUUAUAUUCCAAAUAAUGCUGAAACUCAGUCCCCGUGCAGGAGAGGUGGAUGGGAGAGGUUCCCAGGGGCUGAAACCUCAGCCCUGAUGGGCAAACUGGAAUCAGGGAUGUCUUCACUCAGCACAGCUGGCUCAGAGAUCCAGGGAAAACCCUGAGGCAUAAGAACUAAGGGACUAGAAAUGCAGAGCAGGGAUGAAAAUGAUGAAAAUGAGACAAAGUCACCACUUCCCAAAACCUUCACAGUGAAGGAAACACCUCCCACUGUCUGGAGGAUCCAUGGGAAUAUUACAAUAUUUGUUCCAAAAACAUGACUGGGUGGAUCCAGACUCACUGACGCAGACACAAGCAGCUAAUUGAAUUCAUACGUAGGAACCCUGGACACCAUCUGGCCUCAAUAAAACGUGGGGCCAGAGCUGUUUCUUAGCAGAUGGUUCCUCAUUUUCAUAAUCUGAAAUCAAAAGAUCAUUUUUCUAUCUGGAGAUCAAAGGCACCUAAUGUCUCCUUGGUCGAGGGUUACGAAGCGAAACCCGUGUCCUCUGUUUUGGCUUUUGGGGUGAGGCAGACGGGGGUUUUCCCCUGAAACCUCUGCUCAGGCUCCGGGCAACCACAUCUGGGCAGCAGCUGCAGAUGUUCACAGCUCUCCAGGCCUGGGCUGUAUUUCCACGAUAGGGACGUGCACUGUAUAAAAUCAGAAGGGACAGCUGUAAGAAGCUUGUGUGGCCAUUUCUAUUUCCCCAGACUCCUGCAGUACAGCCCAUAAGAUGAAUAUUUGGGGAUGAAAUGAUGCCUUUUGCCUUAGAAGAAGAGCUCAGAGCCCUGUCUGAGCUCUCAGAGCCCACCCAGCCCUGAGCCCUGUGUGUGAGGCCAGCACGGUGGCCACUCUGAAGUGGUGGCUGGGCUGUCCUGUGCAGGGCCAGCAGCUGGACUCGAUGAUCCUUGUGGCCCCUCUGAUUUUCUGAUCUAUGGGAGACACCCCUGCAGAGGAAGGAGAGCAGCCUGGGGAAAAGGAGGCUCAGGGAAAUGUGGCUCUGCACAACUCCCUGACAGGAGGGGACAGCCUGGGGGGGCUCUGCUCCCAGGAAACAGGGAGGAGGAGAGGGAAGGGCCUCAAUUCAGGAGGAAUUUCUCCAUGGAAAGGGUGGUCAGGCCUUGGCAGGGCUGCCCGGCGAGGUUUGGAGUGCCCGUCCCUGGAGGUGCCCAAGGAAGGGAUGGAUGAUAAAGGUGGGGAGCGGGCACAGCGUGGACCCGGUGAUCUCGGAGGCCUUUCCCAGCCUCGGUGGCUCUGGAAUUCCGGGAUUCUGGGCUGCUCCUCGGCUGGUGAUGGUGGGCGAGCGCUGCCUCCCCAGCGACGUCAGUGCCAGCAGCAUUGGCGGGGAGGAGAAGGGGGCGAGAUGCUUUUCUCUGGAAAGUGCUUCCACACCCACCCCAAAGCCUCGGGGACUAAGAAGGAGAGCCGUGUGGUGACUCGGAGCAGGUUGUGACAAACUGAGUCCUGCUCACAAACCUCAUUUCCCAGCGGGUACCUGUGGAACCCAGGGGCUCCCGGUCCUGCCAGCCCACGCUGCCCCAGCGCUCUCCUCAUCUGAUGCUCGAGGUGAAUAUUUGCCGGGAUCAGCUCCCAGGGGAGCAGGAGCCCUUCCCUGCUGUGCCUGCUGCAGUAUGGAAAUGAUCCUCCCGGCAGACAGCUGAGUCCCACCUCGGUUCCCAUUCACCUGGAGAUGAAAGCGCUCUGCCUGCCAGUGUAGGCGGGGCAAAACUAUUUAAAAACCUCAUUAGAGAAAGUAUUCGGGGAAGACAGCAACACCCUCAGUUGUGGUUUGCUCCAGGACUUCUCAGCCAGAUCCCUGCUGAUACAGAGGGAAGGGCACUAUGAGAGACAUUCCUGUCAAAUACUGCUCCUCGUGGGGAUGCCUUGGGUGUCCUUUGCCUUCCUCUGUGUCCUGGUGGGCUGUGUUUUACCUAAACCUGAGCGUUCCCUUCCACGUGCUGUUUUGGGGGCUGGAAUCAGGGCUGUGCUUGGCAUGGAGGGUCCAGGAGUGAUGUAGGGGUGUCCCAGCUCCGUGCUAGAGGAACACAGUCAGCAGAGCUGUGUGUGAUCUUGAUUAGGCAGAAAUCCACCGUGAAUAUUUCCUAUUUCCAUUCAAUUCCGGUUUGUGCUUAUUUCAGCUGAAUUUGCAGCAGGAGUAAUGCCCAAGCCACAUCUGGCUCCUGAUGCACAUGGGAUCAGAGCAGGAGGUUGGGAGGAGGUGGAUCUGGAUUCAGAGGUUUGGCUUCUUAUUUAGAAAAUGAUGGGUUGCGUUCUCCCACGGCUGCUC